Molecule: non-coding RNA, 29 nt
Filed under: Rattus norvegicus (Norway rat)
Lineage: Eukaryota; Metazoa; Chordata; Mammalia; Rodentia; Muridae
Source: RNAcentral
UGAAACUGCCCAGUACACAGGCUCAAAGC